CCUGAACGCUGGCGGCGUGGUUAAGACAUGCAAGUCGCACGGUGCAGCAAUGCACAGUGGCGCACGGGUGAGUAAUGUAUCGCUAACGUGCCCCGGACUCUGGGAUAGCUCUCCGAAAGGGGAGGUAAUACCAGAUGAUAUACCUGAUCCGCAUGGAUUGGGUCUCAAAGGUCCGCCGGUCUGGGAGCGGGCGAUAUCGUAUCAGCUAGUUGGUGAGGUAACGGCUCACCAAGGCGACGACGCGUAGCCGGACUGAGAGGUCGGCCGGCCACAUCGGGACUGAGACACUGCCCGGACUCCUACGGGGGCUGCAGUAACGAAUCUUCCCCAAUGCACGAAAGUGUGAGGGAGCGACGCCGCGUGGAGGAUGAAGUCCUCGG
This 380-nucleotide ribosomal RNA is filed under the name uncultured bacterium. RNAcentral's name for it is "bacterial SSU rRNA". It matches the Rfam family "Bacterial small subunit ribosomal RNA", at positions 30 to 420 of the family's 1533-position model. The record is from RNAcentral.